Molecule: long non-coding RNA, 858 nt
Organism: Camellia sinensis
Lineage: Eukaryota; Viridiplantae; Streptophyta; Magnoliopsida; Ericales; Theaceae
Source: RefSeq, a predicted model, not a curated record
UUUUUUUGGAUUCCUGAAUAUACGUCUCUCUCUCUCUCUCUUCUUCUUCUUCUUCUUUAUCUUCUUCUUCUCCAUCGGCAUCUCAUACAAACGCACGAGCACUACCAGCUGCUGCCCCUCAAAUCACUACUGAUAUCUUUUGAGCUUGGCGUUUGAUUCUAAUUCUGAGCUUGGAGUUCGAUUCGAUUCUGAGCCCCUUCCAUGAAUUUGAUUUUGUUUGGUUUCCACUUGUAUGAAUGCUUGUUUUGUUUGAAGCUCAUACACCUCUCUAGCCUCCGUCUCCGCCAAAUUCCACCGCGAUCUCUAGAAAAGCCUCCAUCACGAUGAGCAUCGAGACAUUUCUUCUUCUUCUUUUUUUGAUACGGGCGAUUAAUUGAACAAGCAUAAUGUUGAAGUUGAUGCAAGUUUUAUGGAUGCAAAUCUUUCUAGAUUGGAUAGGAUCAAAGUAAUGUCAAAUGUAAGUUGUUGCAUUGGGAGGGGACAAACUUGGUGGUUGCAGAGGGCCAAAUUGCAUCAAGGGAUCCUAAGUCAAAUGUGCAUCAUGUGAACCUUGGACUUAUGUGUUCGAACGUAUGGGUGAACCACGUAAUAGUCAACGUGCUGUUGUUUUGUUCUACUCAUGAAAUGUAUAAUCUUCGAGAUGUUAUAUGAAGUAUAGUUGCAUGGCUUAGUCAAUUCAUUCUUUCGGACUAAAUAUUAGACUAAUUGAUUUAUGAUUUGUAGUUAUGCUUUUUGGAUGUUUAAAGUCGUAUUUUAGAGAUUAAUGAAUCUUAUGAUUUGGAUACUUUUCUUGGUUUGUAUGUUUGAAGUUGUUAUUAGCUUGAUAUGAUAGAAGUUGAGGAUAGAAGUUAGUAUGCA